GUCUAAGGCCAUGCUACCCUGAAUAAGCCCAAUUCCAUCUGAUUUCGGAAGCUCUGCAGGGUUGGGCCUGGUUAGAACUUGAAUGGAAGACCACAUAGGAAGCCCAGGUGCUAUAGGCA
This 119-nucleotide ribosomal RNA is filed under the name Pteropus vampyrus (large flying fox). The record is from RNAcentral. Lineage: Eukaryota; Metazoa; Chordata; Mammalia; Chiroptera; Pteropodidae.